Molecule: RNA transcript, 1803 nt
Organism: Oncorhynchus gorbuscha (pink salmon)
Lineage: Eukaryota; Metazoa; Chordata; Actinopteri; Salmoniformes; Salmonidae
Gene name: cilia- and flagella-associated protein 100-like
Exons: 10
Source: RefSeq, a predicted model, not a curated record
UCAGGCAAGUGGACAGAGAUAACAACCAGGGAUUCAGACAUUUAGACCUAUUCUGUAAACAACAAUAAUAACCUGCACUGAACAUUUUGUUUCUUAAACACUGUGAUCUGAAUAGCAACAAUUGCAAAACUACUAAGAUGUAGGCUAUAUAUUAUUUAGACUAUAGAAGUAGUCACUAUUUUUGACUGAAAACUCAAAUGAUUUGUUAUUGCAUUCCCUCAGAUAUUAAUGAUUGUAUGUUAAAGUACCUAUCCCGAACACAAACUGGAAAUGGACAUUCCCUCCCCGCUUCGCUCCCCUUUGAGCAUGCCUGAUAUUAAGAAAGUGAAGAUAAGUUCUCCUAAACACACUCCUGAUGCUGAAUACCUCUUAAGGAGAAGGGGUGGGAUGGCAGAAAGUCUUGAGGAGACUGCAAAGCCAACAUUGGAUACAGUCUGGCUGAAAUCAAGAAAUAAUACAGAUGACGACAGAAAAUCUAACAACCCAUUUGUGCUUCCAAUGGAUCGUAACAUCUUCAAAAAGAGAGAGAUUGAAUCUGUAAUCAAACAACAAGAGAAGAAGUUCUUCAGCAGCCUGCCGACCCAGAUGAAGAGUACCUACCUGUCCCGACUCAGGUGCCGCUCUGCCCCCAUGAGGAGUGCUGUGGAGGACACAAUCCCAGAACCAGAGAAAUGCAGACGGGAAAAAACGACAUGGGCCACCGUGGUCACUAAAAGCUGCAGUCAAGAGAGGGAGAACAUUAGGGACUACUUAUCUAAACAGCGGGAAAAGUUUAUGCAGCAGUACUCUCUGUCAGUGAAGCAAGACACCAUCAAGAAGCUGGAGAAGGACACGGUGAUAGAGCUUAAGUUGAUCAGACACGCUGAGAAACAUCUGCAACAGGACUCAGUCGCCUUUGAAAAGUUCAUCAAGGAAAACGACCAGAGCUCAGUGGAAGCUGUCAAGUUGGCAGAGAAAGAGACUAUGCUGAAAAUGGAGAAAACAGCAGAAAUUAAAAAAGUGACAGUACAAAUGAUGGCGAUGAAAAGGUACUGUAUCAUGUACGCUGUACUAGAAAGGAAAAUAUCAAAAUGUGUCUCCUUCGAGCCGGAUUUGAACCAGCGACCUAAGGAUUUCCGCUUUGAUUCCAACUACAGUCCUCCGCUCUACCAACUGAGCUAUCGAAGGGACGCUGAAUAACAUGAAAAAAAUAGGGCAUUUAAACUUGCUAUCAGAGGAACUCGACAGUUGUGAAGUAUUCUCCCCCCCAGUAACGCUGCACGGUCUUAACAUAUUUGACUACUGUAGCUAAUGUUAGUAGUGAAAACUACCUAACCACUUUACAUUUUUUCAGAAUGGAUGAGCGAGCAUGCGCGUUAGCUAGGCUACGUUUAGAGAACACGCCGCCGUCGCGCUGAACUCAUUUCUUUCCAUUUGGGGAGUGGGGUGGAGUCGACAUGUGUUUUUUUUAAUUCAGUGGUAGUAAAUGUCCUCCCACAUAAGGCAAGCAUAUCCCCUUUAGCGACAUCUCAAAGUAUCAAGAAAUACUGAAGGAGUACCAGACCUACAAAACGUUUCUCAUGGCCGUCGGACCCAUGGAGUGGCGUGAGGAACAGAAACGCAAGAGGGAGGACAGGAGAGCAACCAAGCAGAAAGAGAAUUCAAACAUUUUCUGUCUUCCUUCAUCGGUCAAAGUGGCAAAGUCAGCAGCAUACUUCACCACCAGGAGAGACAGGGGUUCACCAUCCCUGAGGUGCCAGAGACCGCAGAGACCUCAGACAGUGACGAGGAGCCAGAGUUGUGUUACUCCAACCCCAGGGACAU